UCCUCUUGGUUUUAUCGUAAGGCGGAGGUACUCCCUCGUACACCUUCAACCUCGCCAGGGCAGCUGCUCCUCUCUUGGUUUUAUGCGGAAUCAUCCUAAUUAACAGAUAAUACGUCAUAAUCAAUAACUCGUAGACUAAAAAUCUGGAGAUAAAACCGCCAAAAAAAGAUAGAAGGAAAAAACGAAAAAGAAAUGCAUAAGAAUAAACAUUAGACAACAGACUGACCCUCGGAUGGUGCGCCAGAGGAUUUUAGAAGGGGCGCGGAAAUGGAUAGGGCCAUGGGAAGGUUUGGUGUUCAUGCGCUUGCGGAGGAAUCGGAGGUACUUCAUUUUCUGACGAACGAGACCGCCGGAGAGGCAGAUCUCCUCACAUCGGACCACCACCACUUUCUGCCCAUUAAGCAGCUCCUUAGCUAUAAUGGACGCCAAUCGCCCCAGCAUGUGGUGGCGCGCGUCCACCACCACUCGCUUCGCACAAAUUCCUGAUCCCGACACCAUUUUUUGCUCCUUCCUUCCACACUACAGAAGACUCUCUCUCCGCUCUGCUCGCUGCGGAAGAAAGUGUGCG
Molecule: long non-coding RNA, 568 nt
Filed under: Coffea arabica (coffee)
Lineage: Eukaryota; Viridiplantae; Streptophyta; Magnoliopsida; Gentianales; Rubiaceae
Description: long non-coding RNA (CARA_LNC000790)
Source: RNAcentral